Non-coding RNA from Mycena vulgaris, 97 nucleotides. Lineage: Eukaryota; Fungi; Basidiomycota; Agaricomycetes; Agaricales; Mycenaceae. The record is from the annotation of a GenBank genome assembly.
GCGGGCGUGGUGUACGGUACACCGCUGUGAAGACUAAAAUGUUGAGUUGUGAGAUUAAAUUCGGCAGCUGAACGGGGUUCGACUCCCCGCGCUCGCA